Molecule: ribosomal RNA, 468 nt
Filed under: uncultured bacterium
Lineage: Bacteria
Description: partial 16S ribosomal RNA
Rfam family: Bacterial small subunit ribosomal RNA
Source: RNAcentral
GACGAACGCUGGCGGCGUGCUUAACACAUGCAAGUCGAACGGAAAGGCCCUGCUUUUGUGGGGUGCUCGAGUGGCGAACGGGUGAGUAACACGUGAGUAACCUGCCCUUGACUUUGGGAUAACUUCAGGAAACUGGGGCUAAUACCGGAUAGGAGCUCCUGCUGCAUGGUGGGGGUUGGAAAGUUUCGGCGGUUGGGGAUGGACUCGCGGCUUAUCAGCUUGUUGGUGGGGUAGUGGCUUACCAAGGCUUUGACGGGUAGCCGGCCUGAGAGGGUGACCGGCCACAUUGGGACUGAGAUACGGACCAGACUCCUACGGGAGGCAGCAGUGGGGAGUAUUGCACAAUGGGCGGAAGCCUGAUGCAGCAACGCCGCGUGCGGGAUGACGGCCUUCGGGUUGUAAACCGCUUUCGCCUGUGACGAAGCGGGAGUGACGGUAAUGGGUAAAGAAGCACCGGCUAACUACGUG